Molecule: long non-coding RNA, 394 nt
Organism: Piliocolobus tephrosceles (Ugandan red Colobus)
Lineage: Eukaryota; Metazoa; Chordata; Mammalia; Primates; Cercopithecidae
Exons: 3
Source: RefSeq, a predicted model, not a curated record
GGAAGGCUCAGACCCUCCAAGGUUUCAUUGACACAGUCUGGAGACCCAGCUCUGUCACUCAACUCUACAUAGCCUUCACCCAGAGCCUGACAAUGUCUAUGAAGGAGAGGCUACGCCUGAUGAGUGCUUCUGCUACUUUCUCCAGGAUGACAGCCAUGAACUCCUGCCAUAUCCAACACCCCCUUGCUGCUCCCCACCGCCUUCCUUGGCACCCAGGUGGCUGAUCUCCUAUGGGUCUUGCUGGCUUCUCUACCUUGCAUGCUGAGGGUAUGCAAGCCCCAGCUCAGGGUCUGCACAUAGUAGGUGCUCGCAUGUUGCCUGCUAAACUGACAGCCCAUGUCAGCACAAAGCAACCAGCAUUUUGGGUGCAUCCACAGUUAAACCACUGAGGUCA